Molecule: long non-coding RNA, 251 nt
Organism: Conger conger (European conger)
Lineage: Eukaryota; Metazoa; Chordata; Actinopteri; Anguilliformes; Congridae
Exons: 3
Source: RefSeq, a predicted model, not a curated record
GAAACGUUGAAUAAAACGGCCAUUGCGGCUCCUCCCAAGCGACAUGCACCAGUGGAGCUGCUCAUCUUCCACAUUCCCUGGAAAACCAGCAGAGACUCUUCCCUCGUUUGACCAGUAAAUUUAAGGUAUCCCAUGGCCCUUCAGCCUUCUGACCUCUGACCCUCGUUCCCAUGGAAACCAGCGCCCUACUCAUUUUGCUGAGUGCAGGCCUCUGCAUGUCAGCCUUCCUCGGUCACUACAAACGAAACCUC